GCAGUCGAGGGGUACAGGGUGCUUGCACCGCUGACGACCGGCGCACGGGUGCGUAACGCGUAUACAAUCUACCUUAUAGAGGGGGAUAGCCCAGAGAAAUUUGGAUUAAUACCCCAUAGCAUUAUGAAAUAGCAUUAUUUUAUAAUUAAACAUUUAUGGCUAUAAGAUGAGUAUGCGUUCUAUUAGUUAGUAGGUAAGGUAACGGCUUACCUAGACUUCGAUAGAUAGGGGUCCUGAGAGGGAGAUCCCCCACACUGGUACUGAGACACGGACCAGACUCCUACGGGAGGCAGCAGUGAGGAAUAUUGGACAAUGGGCGAGAGCCUGAUCCAGCCAUGCCGCGUGCAGGAAGACGGCCCUAUGGGUUGUAAACUGCUUUUACAGAGGAAGAAACACUCCCUUGCGAGGGAGCUUGACGGUACUCUGCGAAUAAGGAUCGGCUAACUCCGUGCCAGCAGCCGCGGUAAUACGGAGGAUCCAAGCGUUAUCCGGAAUCAUUGGGUUUAAAGGGUCCGUAGGCGGGACAAUCAGUCAGCGGUGAAAGUCUGUGGCCCAACCAUAGAAUUGCCAUUGAUACUGUUGUUCUUGAAUACUUAUGAAGUGGUUGGAAUAUGUAGUGUAGCGGUGAAAUGCAUAGAUAUUACAUAGAACACCGAUUGCGAAGGCAGAUCACUAAUAAUUUAUUGACGCUGAUGGACGAAAGCGUAGGUAGCGAACAGGAUUAGAUACCCUGGUAGAAUCACUAGUGAAUUC
Molecule: ribosomal RNA, 753 nt
Filed under: uncultured bacterium
Lineage: Bacteria
Description: bacterial SSU rRNA
Rfam family: Bacterial small subunit ribosomal RNA
Source: RNAcentral